This 228-nucleotide ribosomal RNA is filed under the name uncultured bacterium. RNAcentral's name for it is "partial 16S ribosomal RNA". It matches the Rfam family "Bacterial small subunit ribosomal RNA", at positions 524 to 753 of the family's 1533-position model. The record is from RNAcentral.
UACGGAGGGUGCGAGCGUUUGUUCGGAAUCACUGGGCGUAAAGCGCGUGUAGGCGGCCCACUAAGUCUGAUGUGAAAGCCCGGGGCUCACCCCCGGAAGUGCAUUGGAAACUGGUGGACUAGAGUCCCGGAGAGGAGAGUGGAAUUCCUGGUGUAGCGGUGAAAUGCGUAGAUAUCAGGAGGAACACCGGUGGCGAAGGCGGCUCUCUGGACGGUGACUGACGAGACG